UCCCAGUUCGGAUUGCAGGCUGCAACCCGCCUGCAUGAAGUUGGAAUCGCUAGUAAUCGCGGAUCAGCAUGCCGCGGUGAAUACGUUCCCGGGCCUUGUACACACCGCCCGUCACACCAUGAGAGUCGGGGACACCCGAAGUCCGUAGCCUAACCGCAAGGGGGGCGCGGCCGAAGGUGGAUUCGAUAAUUGGGGUGAAGUCGUAACAAGGUACC
Molecule: ribosomal RNA, 215 nt
Filed under: uncultured bacterium
Lineage: Bacteria
Description: partial 16S ribosomal RNA
Rfam family: Bacterial small subunit ribosomal RNA
Source: RNAcentral